GGAUGGGCCCGCGGCCUAUCAGCUUGUUGGUGAGGUAACGGCUCACCAAGGCGACGACGGGUAGCCGGCCUGAGAGGGCGACCGGCCACACUGGGACUGAGACACGGCCCAGACUCCUACGGGAGGCAGCAGUGGGGAAUAUUGCACAAUGGGCGAAAGCCUGAUGCAGCGACGCCGCGUGAGGGAUGACGGCCUUCGGGUUGUAAACCUCUUUCAGCAGGGAAGAAGCGCAAGUGACGGUACCUGCAGAAGAAGCGCCGGCUAACUACGUGCCAGCAGCCGCGGUAAUACGUAGGGCGCGAGCGUUGUCCGGAAUUAUUGGGCGUAAAGAGCUCGUAGGCGGCUUGUCGCGUCGGUUGUGAAAGCCCGGGGCUUAACCCCGGGUCUGCAGUCGAUACGGGCAGGCUAGAGUUCGGUAGGGGAGAUCGGAAUUCCUGGUGUAGCGGUGAAAUGCGCAGAUAUCAGGAGGAACACCGGUGGCGAAGGCGGAUCUCUGGGCCGAUACUGACGCUGAGGAGCGAAAGCGUGGGGAGCGAACAGGAUUAGAUACCCUGGUAGUCCACGCCGUAAACGGUGGGCACUAGGUGUGGGCGACAUUCCACGUCGUCCGUGCCGCAGCUAACGCAUUAAGUGCCCCGC
This 639-nucleotide ribosomal RNA is filed under the name uncultured Streptomyces sp. RNAcentral's name for it is "bacterial SSU rRNA". It matches the Rfam family "Bacterial small subunit ribosomal RNA", at positions 223 to 872 of the family's 1533-position model. The record is from RNAcentral. Lineage: Bacteria; Bacillati; Actinomycetota; Actinomycetes; Kitasatosporales; Streptomycetaceae.